RNAcentral lists this ribosomal RNA (475 nucleotides) under uncultured organism. Its description in RNAcentral is "partial 16S ribosomal RNA". It matches the Rfam family "Bacterial small subunit ribosomal RNA", at positions 335 to 801 of the family's 1533-position model. The record is from RNAcentral.
ACUCCUGCGGGAGGCAGCAGUGGGGAAUUUUGGACAAUGGGCGAAAGCCUGAUCCAGCAAUGCCGCGUGUGUGAAGAAGGCCUUCGGGUUGUAAAGCACUUUUGUCCGGAAAGAAAUCCUUGGCUCUAAUACAGUCGGGGGAUGACGGUACCGGAAGAAUAAGCACCGGCUAACUACGUGCCAGCAGCCGCGGUAAUACGUAGGGUGCGAGCGUUAAUCGGAAUUACUGGGCGUAAAGCGUGCGCAGGCGGUUUGCUAAGACCGAUGUGAAAUCCCCGGGCUCAACCUGGGAACUGCAUUGGUGACUGGCAGGCUAGAGUAUGGCAGAGGGGGGUAGAAUUCCACGUGUAGCAGUGAAAUGCGUAGAGAUGUGGAGGAAUACCGAUGGCGAAGGCAGCCCCCUGGGCCAAUACUGACGCUCAUGCACGAAAGCGUGGGGAGCAAACAGGAUUAGAAACCCAUGUAGUCCCAUGAU